AGGUGAACCUGCGGAAGGAUCAUUAUUGAAAUAAACCUGAUGAGUUGUUGCUGGUUCUCUAGGGAGCAUGUGCACACUUGUCAUCUUUAUAUCUCUCCACCUGUGCACCUUUUGUAGACCUGGAUAUCUCUCUGAAUGCUAGCAUUCAGGUUUGAGGUUUGACCUUUUGGUCUCUCCUUACAUUUCCAGGCCUAUGUUUCUUCAUAUACCCCUUGUAUGUUAUAGAAUGUAAUAAAUGGGCCUUUGUGCCUAUAAAACUAUACAACUUUCAGCAACGGAUCUUUUGGCUCUCGCAUCGAUGAAGAACGCAGCGAAAUGCGAAAGUAAUGUGAAUUGCAGAAUUCAGUGAAUCAUCGAAUCUUUGAACGCACCUUGCGCUCCUUGGUAUUCCGAGGAGCAUGCCUGUUUGAGUGUCAUUAAUAUAUCAACCUCUUCAGCUUUUGCUUGUUGAGCGUUGGAUGUGGGGGUCUUUAUUUGUUGGCCUCUUUUCUGAGGUCAGCUCCCCUGAAAUGCAUUAGUGGAACAAUUUGUUGACUGUUCAUUGGUGUGAUAACUAUCUACGCUAUUGACGGUGAAGCAAGUUCAGCUUCUAACAGUCCAUUGACUUGGACAAAAAUUUUAUUAAUGUGACCUCAAAUCAGGUAGGACUACCCGCUGAACUUAA
Molecule: ribosomal RNA, 664 nt
Filed under: Cortinarius paradoxus
Lineage: Eukaryota; Fungi; Basidiomycota; Agaricomycetes; Agaricales; Cortinariaceae
Description: eukaryotic LSU rRNA
Rfam family: 5.8S ribosomal RNA (bases 264-416)
Source: RNAcentral